CUGACCAGCACGGUGACGUCGACGGAGACAUCGUGGCACCCGGAUAAAAGCAGCAGCCUUUUCGACGUUCCCUUCAGUGGACUUGGAAGCACUGAACGAGCACGGAUGCUGAUCAAAUUUUUUCUGAUCGCACAGGCGAUCUUUGGAAACUUCAGUGAUACCUGACGACUGGCGAAGGGCCAAAGUAAUACCUGUGCACAAAUCUGGCUCUAAACUCGACUUUCUUCCUCUGGGCUUAAGUGGGACGCUUCUCCAUCAUUGGUGCGAAAGUGCCUCCAGAACCUUCCGGGAUUAUUAGUAAGAAAGCUCGGUAACUUUACAUUA
RNAcentral lists this long non-coding RNA (324 nucleotides) under Dermacentor andersoni. RNAcentral's name for it is "uncharacterized LOC126526453". Lineage: Eukaryota; Metazoa; Arthropoda; Arachnida; Ixodida; Ixodidae. The record is from RNAcentral.